GACGAACGCUGGCGGCGUGCUUAACACAUGCAAGUCGAGCGGUAAGGCCCUUUCGGGGGUACGACGAGCGGCGAACGGGUGAGUAACACGUGGGUGACCUGCCCUCAGCUCUGGGAUAAGCCUGGGAAACGUGGGUCGUAAUACCGGAUAUGACCCCACUGACGCAUGUCGUGGGGUGGAAAGACCUUGUGCGGCUGAGGAUGGGCCCGGCCGGCCUAUCAGCUUGUUGGUGGGGUGGAUGGCCUACCAAGGCGACGACGGGUAGCCGGCCUGAGAGGGCGACCGGCCACACUGGGACUGAGGCACGGCCCAGACUCCUACGGGAGGCAGCAGUGGGGAAUCUUGCGCAAUGGGCGAAAGCCUGACGCAGCGACGCCGCGUGAGGGAUGACGGCCU
RNAcentral lists this ribosomal RNA (396 nucleotides) under uncultured bacterium. RNAcentral describes it as "bacterial SSU rRNA". It matches the Rfam family "Bacterial small subunit ribosomal RNA", at positions 28 to 417 of the family's 1533-position model. The record is from RNAcentral.